GAUGAACGCUGGCGGCGUGCCUAAUACAUGCAAGUCGAGCGAACAGACGAGGAGCUUGCUCCUCUGACGUUAGCGGCGGACGGGUGAGUAACACGUGGAUAACCUACCUAUAAGACUGGGAUAACUUCGGGAAACCGGAGCUAAUACCGGAUAAUAUAUUGAACCGCAUGGUUCAAUAGUGAAAGACGGUUUUGCUGUCACUUAUAGAUGGAUCCGCGCCGCAUUAGCUAGUUGGUAAGGUAACGGCUUACCAAGGCGACGAUGCGUAGCCGACCUGAGAGGGUGAUCGGCCACCCUGGAACGGAGACACGGUCCAGACUCCUGCGGGAGGCAGCAGUAGGGAAUCUUCCGCAACGGGCGAAAGCCUGACGGAGCAACGCCGCGUGAGUGAUGAAGGUCUUCGGAUCGUAAAACUCUGUUAUUAGGGAAGAACAAAUGUGUAAGUAACUAUGCACGUCUUGACGGUACCUAAUCAGAAAGCCACGGCUAACUACGUG
Molecule: ribosomal RNA, 497 nt
Filed under: uncultured bacterium
Lineage: Bacteria
Description: partial 16S ribosomal RNA
Rfam family: Bacterial small subunit ribosomal RNA
Source: RNAcentral